RNAcentral lists this ribosomal RNA (963 nucleotides) under Lacticaseibacillus casei. RNAcentral's name for it is "bacterial SSU rRNA". It matches the Rfam family "Bacterial small subunit ribosomal RNA", at positions 1 to 962 of the family's 1533-position model. Lineage: Bacteria; Bacillati; Bacillota; Bacilli; Lactobacillales; Lactobacillaceae. The record is from RNAcentral.
GGACUGGGCGGGUGCUAUAAUGCAGUCGACGAGUUCUCGUUGAUGAUCGGUGCUUGCACCGAGAUUCAACAUGGAACGAGUGGCGGACGGGUGAGUAACACGUGGGUAACCUGCCCUUAAGUGGGGGAUAACAUAACGAAACAGAUGCUAAUACCGCAUAGAUCCAAGAACCGCAUGGUUCUUGGCUGAAAGAUGGCGUUUGGCUAUCGCUUUUGGAUGGACCCGCGGCGUAUUAGCUAGUUGGUGAGGUAAUGGCUCACCAAGGCGAUGAUACGUAGCCGAACUGAGAGGUUGAUCGGCCACAUUGGGACUGAGACACGGCCCAAACUCCUACGGGAGGCAGCAGUAGGGAAUCUUCCACAUUGGACGCAAGUCUGAUGGAGCAACGCCGCGUGAGUGAAGAAGGCUUUCGGGUCGUAAAACUCUGUUGUUGGAGAAGAAUGGUCGGCAGAGUAACUGUUGUCGGCGUGACGGUAUCCAACCAGAAAGCCACGGCUAACUACGUGCCAGCAGCCGCGGUAAUACGUAGGUGGCAAGCGUUAUCCGGAUAAAUUGGGCGUAAAGCGAGCGCAGGCGGUUUUUUAAGUCUGAUGUGAAUGCCCUCGGCUUAACCGAGGAAGCGCAUCGGAAACUGGGAAACUUGAGUGCAGAAGAGGACAGUGGAACUCCAUGUGUAGCGGUGAAAUGCGUAGAUAUAUGGAAGAACACCAGUGGCGAAGGCGGCUGUCUGGUCUGUAACUGACGCUGAGGCUCGAAAGCAUGCCGUAGCGAACAGGAUUAGAUACCCUGGUAGUCCAUGCCGUAAACGAUGAAUGCUAGGUGUUGGAGGGUUUCCGCUCUUCAGUGCCGCAGCUAACGCAUUAAGCAUUCCGCCUGGGGAGUACGACCGCAAGGUUGAAACUCAAAGGAAUUGACGGGGGCCCGCACAAGCGGUGGAGCAUGUGACUUAAUUCGAAGCAACGC